RNAcentral lists this ribosomal RNA (307 nucleotides) under uncultured bacterium. RNAcentral describes it as "bacterial SSU rRNA". It matches the Rfam family "Archaeal small subunit ribosomal RNA", at positions 723 to 1030 of the family's 1478-position model. The record is from RNAcentral.
ACUGAAUAGAUACCCUGGUAGUCCCAGCCGUAAACGAUGCUCGCUAGGUGUCAGGCAUGGCGCGACCGUGUCUGGUGCCGCAGGGAAGCCGUGAAGCGAGCCACCUGGGAAGUACGGCCGCAAGGCUGAAACUUAAAGGAAUUGGCGGGGAGCACAACAACGGGUGGAGCCUGCGGUUUAAUUGGACUCAACGCCGGACAACUCACCGGGGGCGGACAGCAAUAUGUAGGCCAAGCUGAAGACUUUGCCUGAAUCGCUGAGAGGAGGUGCAUGGCCGUCGCCAGUUCGUACUGUGAAGCAUCCUGUU